This 484-nucleotide ribosomal RNA is filed under the name uncultured bacterium. RNAcentral describes it as "partial 16S ribosomal RNA". It matches the Rfam family "Bacterial small subunit ribosomal RNA", at positions 30 to 507 of the family's 1533-position model. The record is from RNAcentral.
AUUGAACGCUGGCGGCAGGCCUAACGCAUGCAAGUCGAGCGGAUGAAUGGAGCUUGCUCCUGGAUUCAGCGGCGAACGGGUGAGUAAUGCCUAUGAAUCUGCCUGGUAGUCGGGGAUAACGUCCUGAAACGGGCUCUAAUACUGCAUACGUCCUGUGAUCGAAAUUGGGUGAUCUUCGGACGUCUCGCCAACAUAUGAGCCUAGGUCGGAUUAGCUAGUUGGCGGGGUAAAUGCCUAUCAAGGCUACGAUCCGUAACUGGUCUCAGAGGAUGAUCACUCAAGCUGGAAUUGGAACAUGGUCAAGACUACUACGGGAGGCAGCAGUGGGGAAUUUUGGCGAAUGGGAGAAAGGGUGAUCAAGCGAUGCCGGGUGUGUGAAGAAGGUAUUAGGAUUGUAAAGCAGAUUAAGUCGGGAGGAAGGGCAGUAAGUUAAUACCUUGCUGUUUUGGCGUUAACAGGAGAAUAAGCACCGGCUAACUUCGUG